This is a small RNA of 174 nucleotides. It matches the Rfam family "Actinobacteria sRNA Ms_IGR-5". The record is from Rfam.
ACACAGGGAAGGAGGUGGUCCGACAAAUUGAGUGACUUAUGGACAUGUGAGGUGGCUGCCCGCUAGCAGCGCCGGGAGAAUAGCCCGCGCGCGCUGGCGAAUUCCCCGCAGCCACCCGGCCCCCGAGCCCCUUGGUCAGUCCAACCAGGAACAACGGCUCGGGGGCCGCCCCAU